Sphenodon punctatus (tuatara) is the source of this 299-nucleotide unclassified non-coding RNA. It matches the Rfam family "Metazoan signal recognition particle RNA". From Rfam's summary of the family: The signal recognition particle (SRP) is a universally conserved ribonucleoprotein. It is involved in the co-translational targeting of proteins to membranes. Lineage: Eukaryota; Metazoa; Chordata; Lepidosauria; Sphenodontia; Sphenodontidae. The record is from Ensembl.
GCUGGGCACAGUGGCUUGUGCCUGUAAUCCCAGCUCUGUGGGAGGCUGAGGCUGUAGGAUUGUUUAAGCUCAGGAGUUCUGGGCUGCAGUUGGCCAUACUAAUCAGGUGCCCACACUAAUGUCAGCAUCAAUAUGGUGACCUGUGGGAAGCUGGAGGCUACCAGGUUGUCUAAGAAGGGGUGAACCGACCCAGGUCAAGAAUAGAGCAGGCCAAAGCUCCUGUGCUGAGGAGUAGUGGGAUUGCACCUGUGGUUGGUUCCUGUAGCCCAGCCUGGGCAAGAGAGUAAAACACAGUCUCU